Molecule: transfer RNA, 63 nt
Filed under: Macrocheles muscaedomesticae
Lineage: Eukaryota; Metazoa; Arthropoda; Arachnida; Mesostigmata; Macrochelidae
Description: tRNA-Val
Source: RNAcentral
AAAAAUGAAGUCAAAGUGAGUCGACGUUUCUUUUACAAAGAAAAAUUGCAAAAGCCAUUUUUA